Molecule: long non-coding RNA, 713 nt
Filed under: Mytilus galloprovincialis (Mediterranean mussel)
Lineage: Eukaryota; Metazoa; Mollusca; Bivalvia; Mytilida; Mytilidae
Source: RNAcentral
AUUAAAGUUCAGGUGUAUUUUUAGUUACAGUGCAGUGCAUAGGUGUUUAUGAUUUGGAAACAGAUUUGACGCGCAAUUUCAAAAUCAACCGUCUGUCUACGGUGAAAAAAGAUUAAGAAAUGACAAAGUUAUGAGGGUUUAAAGGAAAGUUAGUGAGCGAUUUUUAUUCAACACUACAUUUCUUUAAACAAAGAUUUUCGCUUCACCUGUCAAUUUCUGCUUAUGAGAAUUGGCAGGUAAUAAUCAUAGAAAAUAUACGAAUAUGCAAAGUACUUUAGUUACGGUGACCGGUAACGACCGGAAGGAAUAUUUGCAAUUGAAACAUAGAGAUAUAAAUUUAUUUAUCGAGAACAACGUAAAAGUGACUUUCUGUUAUGACUGUUGAUAUUAACAUUGACGGCAAUGAGACGGAUAUUCGUUUUAUUUCUAUUGGUAAUAAGUUUACUUUUAAAAUAAAAUUUAAUUUUUAAUUACUUAAUAAAAAAUAUCACAAAAAAUCUCAUUAACAUUUCAAUAAUUGUAUAUCCGGUCAGUUUAAUGACACCUCGGUGUUUCGUUCUUACUCGGUAUGUAAUUAGGACAAAAAUCUCCCUCUGUGACAGAGUCGAUCUCAACUAAUUAACACCCACUUACAGAAAAGUCGGUAACAUUUUAUGUGUAAUUAUCGUCUUUCGUCCUCUCUCCUUCUAAUAUAACCUCCUUGAUCUAACUAA